GGGGUUGUGGCUCAGCGGUAGAGCGCUCACCUACCACGUGCAAGGCCCUGGGUUUGAUUCUCAGCACCACA
This 71-nucleotide transfer RNA is filed under the name Marmota monax (woodchuck). Its description in RNAcentral is "tRNA.Gly". It matches the Rfam family "tRNA". From Rfam's summary of the family: Transfer RNA (tRNA) molecules are approximately 80 nucleotides in length. Their secondary structure includes four short double-helical elements and three loops (D, anti-codon, and T loops). The record is from RNAcentral. Lineage: Eukaryota; Metazoa; Chordata; Mammalia; Rodentia; Sciuridae.